Molecule: long non-coding RNA, 1057 nt
Organism: Oncorhynchus tshawytscha (Chinook salmon)
Lineage: Eukaryota; Metazoa; Chordata; Actinopteri; Salmoniformes; Salmonidae
Source: Ensembl
GUGUUGUCCAGUGUUCCUCAGCCCCUUCUGGACAGGUACAUAAUGGGACACUUCACGUUUCCUCAGUCCCUUCUGGACAGGUACAUAAUGGGACACUUCACGUUUCCUCAGUCCCUUCUAGACAGGUACAUAAUGGGACAGUUCACGUUUCCUCAGCCCCUUCUGGACAGGUACAUAAUGGGACACUUCACGUUUCCUCAGUCCCUUCUGGACAGGUACAUAAUGGGACACUUCACGUUUCCUCAGUCCCUUCUGGACAGGUACAUAAUGGGACACUUCACGUUUCCUCAGCCCCUUCUAGACAGGUACAUAAUGGGACAGUUCACGUUUCCUCAGCCCCUUCUGGACAGGUACAUAAUGGGACACUUCACGUUUCCUCAGUCCCUUCUGGACAGGUACAUAAUGGGACACUUCACGUUUCCUCAGUCCCUUCUGGACAGGUACAUAAUGGGACAGUUCACGUUUCCUCAGCCCCUUCUGGACAGGUACAUAAUGGGACAGUCCACUUUUCAUCACAUCCCCCAUGGAAAGUUACAGUCCACUUUAACCACCAACACCCCUUGCCUCCAUAACGUACAUGGGACAGUCUCACAUUUCUUCUAGAAUAAGACAUGACAGUCAUCCACUCCAGUUCACCCAAUGGGAUUCCAACAGAAUGACUUAUUCUACUGCACAUGUCUAAAGCACUGCCUUUCUGUUUAUGACAUCACACUGAGCUGCUGAUGUACUUAUUGAAUAUGACACAUGUACUUCUAUUUUCUAAUUCACUAUAUUAUGCUUUUAUUGAAACUUGAAGAAUGUUGAAGAUUUCUGAGGGCACUUCAAUAUGCCACUAUUUCAACAACAUAUAAUAAGCCUGUAUAAUUGAGACAUGUUUACCUUCUCGUCGUAUCAAAUGUGACAAUAUGACAGUACAUUGCAGCACUUGUCAGGUCGCCAUUGUAAACAAUGAUUUGUCUCACCUGGAUAAUUAAAUGUUAGAUUAAACAAAUAAUACAUUGUUCCUCGCCGGUUUUGCAAACCAGUUGACAUCUCUAUCCAAACAGUAAAUGUUGAC